RNAcentral lists this ribosomal RNA (292 nucleotides) under uncultured bacterium. RNAcentral describes it as "partial 16S ribosomal RNA". It matches the Rfam family "Bacterial small subunit ribosomal RNA", at positions 505 to 796 of the family's 1533-position model. The record is from RNAcentral.
GUGCCAGCCGCCGCGGUAAUACGGAGGGUGCAAGCGUUACUCGGAAUUACUGGGCGUAAAGAGCGUGUAGGCGGGUUAAUAAGUCAGAUGUGAAAGCCUGUGGCUCAACCAUAGAACUGCAUUUGAAACUGUUAACCUAGAAUAUGGGAGAGGUAGAUGGAAUUUCUGGUGUAGGGGUAAAAUCCGUAGAGAUCAGAAGGAAUACCGAUUGCGAAGGCGAUCUACUGGAACAUUAUUGACGCUGAGACGCGAAAGCGUGGGGAGCAAACAGGAUUAGAUACCCGAGUAGUCC